Molecule: small nucleolar RNA, 74 nt
Organism: Solea solea (common sole)
Lineage: Eukaryota; Metazoa; Chordata; Actinopteri; Pleuronectiformes; Soleidae
Product: small nucleolar RNA SNORD19
Exons: 1
Source: RefSeq, a predicted model, not a curated record
UGGAAAUGAGGAUAAAAACGCAAGUCUUGAUUUGUUUAUGAAGACUAAUAAUCCAACUCUGAUCCUGCUGAACU